CCCUUAGAUGUUCUGGGCCGCACGCGCGCUACACUGAACAGUUCAACAAGUCUUAACCUUGGCCGAUAGGUCUGGGUAAUCUUUGAACGCUGUUCGUGAUUGGGAUAGACCUUUGCAAUUAUGGGUCUUCAACGAGGAAUUCCUAGUAAACGCAAGUCAUCAGCUUGCAUUGAUUACGUCCCUGCCCUUUGUACACACCGCCCGUCGCACCUACCGAUUGAAUGGUCCGGUGAAAUCUCGGGACGGCUGAUUAACCGCUUGCGGUUGACGGCUGAAACUUGAUUAAACCAUAUCAUUUAGAGGAAGGUGAAGUCGUAACA
Molecule: ribosomal RNA, 320 nt
Filed under: uncultured eukaryote
Lineage: Eukaryota
Description: partial 18S ribosomal RNA
Rfam family: Eukaryotic small subunit ribosomal RNA
Source: RNAcentral